UAGGGAAUCUUCCGCAAUGGGCGAAAGCCUGACGGAGCAACGCCGCGUGAGGGAUGAAGGUUUUCGGAUCGUAAACCUCUGUCAUCAGGGACGAUAAUGACGGUACCUGAUGAGGAAGCCACGGCUAACUACGUGCCAGCAGCCGCGGUAAUACGUAGGUGGCGAGCGUUGUCCGGAAUUACUGGGCGUAAAGGGCGUGUAGGCGGCCUUUUAAGUCAGAUGUGAAAUCUCAGGGCUUAACCCUGAAACUGCAUUUGAAACUGGAGGGCUUGAGGAUCGGAGAGGGCAGUGGAAUUCCCAGUGUAGCGGUGAUAUGCGUAGAUAUUGGGAAGAACACCAGUGGCGAAGGCGACUGCCUGGACGACACCUGACGCUGAGGCGCGAAAGCUAGGGUAGCGAA
Molecule: ribosomal RNA, 400 nt
Filed under: uncultured bacterium
Lineage: Bacteria
Description: bacterial SSU rRNA
Rfam family: Bacterial small subunit ribosomal RNA
Source: RNAcentral